This 4898-nucleotide long non-coding RNA is filed under the name Triticum aestivum (bread wheat). RNAcentral describes it as "long non-coding RNA (TAES_LNC003952)". Lineage: Eukaryota; Viridiplantae; Streptophyta; Magnoliopsida; Poales; Poaceae. The record is from RNAcentral.
GGGUCCGUCUCCAUCGCGCUCACCGGCGCCAGGGCUGCCUCCAAGCUCGCCAAGCCGGACUCUUCGCAGCUCGGCUUCUUCCUUUGGUGAUAUAGAAGAUGAAAUUGUUUGUUCUUGUAUUCUGUUACAUGGUUUGGUUUUGUUAGCCAGAUUCAGUCUUUCUUUAUCUCAGCUGAGGUUGAUGUGGGUUUAUUGGCAGAUUAUUUACAAAAGAAAUUGUUUGAGGUCAAGAGUUGAUGCCAAAUGUCCUGGAUCAGGACAACUCCUGGGAAACAAGGCGAACGGUAUGUGCGUGCAAAAUUGAAAAUUGUACUAGAUAUGUGUAGUUUGCUCCAGGAUCCUAUAUCAGUGUAUUUGCUUCGUGCAGUUCCCUAUGUCAUCCAUUAUAUUUAUAUAGGGAUAAAUUUCCACGGGUUGUUGUAAGCAAAACUCCCUAUGUACCGGCACUUGUCUCUUUACAGACUGUCCGGGCUUUCUAGAUUAGAAUAUAAUUGUUUUAGAUAAUUCGAAAUAAGUUUUUACGCCAGCUUGCACCUUUAUUAUUUGCAGCCGGGAAGUCUAUUUCUUUUCUUUUUUUUGAUUCAAAACUAUUGGCAUGAAUUGGCCCUUGCAUUUGGUCUGAGCACUUACAAUAAUUCCAACCUGUCAAUUGGGGACAGAUAUGUCCAUCACACCUGUACCUUUUAUUCAGUUUGAGGAGGAAUAAGUAGUCAAUUGGCUGAUUAAUUAUGUUUCAUGUGAUUUGUAUAUGGACGCAGUUGCAACAGUUAGCUGCAUCAACUAUAAUUUUUCUUUCGCUGGCGGGGCAUGCAUCCCGACGAGUUAUACAAUUUAGCUGAUUUAAUUCGUGGCCUAACAAUACUUUUGGUAAUAGUUGUCAAGUAAAAAAGGAUCUGCUUUUUCGUAAUGAUGGCCAAAUAAAAGAGGAUCCAAACCCUCACGAGUUUACAUUGUACAAAGCUAUUAUGUGCUGACAAUAAUUUUUCUAAGUUGCUCUCUACAUCUCGGUGUUAUUAGUCUAAAUAUUCUGAUUCCAAAGGAUGUUUUCAAACAUCAGAUCUUUUAAUAAAUUUGAAACAACAUAUCUUUCUAAUUUUGGUUCUGUCUAAAAUGAUGAAAUUCAAUUUUGUUCUACUGCAUAUUAGCUUAAUCAUCUUCACCAGCAGUAUAUAUUGCAGAUAAUUGUGUUGGUUUGGUUUUUAGCAUGUAGGUAUGAUAUGGUAAGCCUCCAGUGAAGGAGGGGCUUAGAAAAAGAGAAACUGUUCUAUUUGAUAUACAAUGUAAUUUGGAAAUUAAUGGCAGAAGGCUCCUAAACUAACAUAUGAUGUUUUGUUUGAAUUUCUCUUUACCGGAUUGUGUUACUUCUGCGCAGUCACCAUACUUGACAAGGGUCCCUGAUUUUAUCACUUCCGUUGACGAGUCUUGUGUCAGCAUCUUGAUGCGAGGUACAACUUCUAGGUGAUCUUCUUCAUGUUUUACGUUGUUGUACUUUUUGCUGCAAUGUGGACGUACAUAUUCUAGCAGAUAUAUCUUCAUGCUUUACCUUGUUUACCACUGCCCUGAUGUGGAGGUACAGAUUCUAGCUGAUAUAUAUCGUCAUGUUUUACCUUUUACCAACAUCCAAGAUUUUUGUUUCCUCAUUUCUUUCAAUUAGAUAGAAGAUGGGACGUGCUUUGUUGUAGUUUCCUCUUACUUUGACUAAGUAGGACAUUUUUUUGAAAUACCAAAUUGUGGUGUCGCUACCCCUACGCACCACGGUUUUGCAGCACCCUCAGCUAAAGUAAACCAUUCCAAGCCUACCAUACUCGAAACAUGGAAGCAUGCAAACUUCAGAGCAUCUUGGUGUCGCUGGCCACCCGAUCUCUACAACCACCACAAAAUGCUACAGGACCAACCAGGCCGGUGUCCUGACCACUGAAUCAUGUCACUGUGUGGGCGCCUAGAUCUCCCAUGUGUCUGUCUAAAGCCUGAGGGGCCAACCUCGCUCGAGCGUCGCCAGCCAGCACUCAUCUGCACAUGAACAAAUGGUUGGAUAUAUGUGCCUCCUCCGUCUCUUAUUCCCCGAAACAUAAUUUGAUGAGUAGAGUUUCUAAUCAUUUAUGGCACACUGGCAUAUGAUUAAACUGCACAAGUUAGAUUGACAUUUUGUGGAGAACGGUCGUCGGUUGGGAGCCUCGCCGUCUACCUCCACCAGCCGGCCCACACACCAUUGCUCCCCGCGUGUCGCGCCCCUCCCCGAACCAUCAUGCCUUCUAAUUAGUGUACGUGGUAGUCUGGUAAAAGUGGAGAAUAAUUCGGGUAAUGUCUAUGGAUGUACUACCAGUAUUGCGGCUAACCUGCCUGGCAGUGAGAUGCAUCUAGAUUAGAUCUGAUUACUGAUAUAGAAGAUGCAAUUAAUUAUCUAAAAUUUUCCUUGUACCAUUUUCCAUGAGAUUAAUGUAAUUGGGAAUACCAGUGCUUGUUUGAAUCAUUUAGUUAAAUAAUUUUAUAGAUAAAACUUGUAUUUGUAUGUUUUGGAAUUACUAUUAUCCUGGUAAAAUGACCACAAGUGAAAGGGUUGUAAAGAUUAAUUAUUCUUUGUGGAAGCAUUACUGGUCUAAUUAAUAGAUGUACAUGCAUCAAUAAUGUUGUUGAGCUUUAGUUGAUUCUAUAGUGUUGUACUAUUCGCAAAGUUCUAUUUUGAGAAAAAAAUGGCAAAUUCAAUAUUGUGCCAGCUAAAUGGCGCACCCGCUGUAGCAAGUGAGUUCCCAUCAAAAUCACCCUGAGCAUAUUUUUGCUGAUUUUCAUGAUUGCUCUUCUGCCAGGAACAAUGUUCCUGGCACUUCGACCACACAACUGUAUGUUCAUGUUCCAGUGUCCUUAUUCAUAGUUAAUUUCAAUCACAAAGUGACAAAUGUCAGUCUAUUAGUUAACAUGUGUAUCUCCGUUUCUUCUAAGUUUCAAUCGACCUACUCUGAAGUUGUUCCUAAGAUAGUGCCUCAAGCAAAGGGAAUGAGCCUCAGUUAGUGCAUCUAGCAAGUUCGUGAUCCUUUGUUGGGAUAAACAUUUGUGCAAGAGCAAUAGUCUCGUCACUAUUGGUUGUUAGUACUGUUGCUUGUUAAUUCUACUUUUUACUUCAGUUCGUAAUGCAAUAUAGUUAUGCUUGACGCACUAUAAGAAGACUGCCAUUUUGCCUUUUGACCUUGGUUUCUUCCUCCAGUAAGUAAAUGCACAUAGUUCUUUUGUAAAUUAGAGCAUACGACUUGUUGAUCGAUCUCUGAGCUCAGUAAUAAUAUUAAGCCUCAAUCUGUUUAUUGUGCACACAAGAUGAGAAAGAAUUGCUACCCAAGAAUAUGUACUUUAUAAACAUUUCAACUGUAAUCUGGAAAAAAAUUAAAUAAAUAAGGAAACAGUAUAUUCAUAUAUCUUUUUUGUACUUUGAUGGUGUCACACCACAAGUUCCGAGAUGGUAAUUGUGCUGCAUAUGUCUGCUCUCUUACUUUGUUUUUCUGAACAGGUAGGUUCUGGAAGAUGUCAUGAAGAAUUUCUUUCAGAGAAUUUGCGUGAGGAGUGUCUAAAUGAUUUUUAUCUUCUGAACAUAUUCUUGUAUGACUAACUGAAUUCAUUUUUUCAAAACGUCGGUACUUUUCCUUUUUCAUUUAUGUUGCUCGAUUGAGUCCACAUGCCUGCCCUUACUGAGUUUGCUCAAGAGUAAGAUAAACUUGAUAUUUAUGUUUGUCGGCAGCAGCGUGACUAGCUGAUCUGUAGCGGCGCGGAAGGUGAGCUUGGCUGCAGGUAGCAGCUCCUUUGGCUGAUCUGCGGCGAUGCAGAAGUUGGGUUGGAAAGAAGCACGACCGGCUGCUCUGAAGUGGGACGUAGGGAGAGCUUCGUAAGAGAUAGGGAGGGAGCUCUAUUGGCCCGUGCAUGACAUCCAACCCAAUGGCAUCAUGCCCUGGUAAGCUUCUUAUCUGUUCCAAUUCUUGCACUUGGUCUUUUUCUUUCUAACCCUAAAAAUAGAGUGUGCCUUGAUUCCUAAUCAUGCUUUAAAAGCUGAUAUCCACCUCGUUUAUCUUGCUACUAGUGGUAAUGUGUGCAAGUAUGAUUUUGUGAUAAUGCCAGAUGUUGUGUGCCUUCUUUAUUCAUGGUACGAGUACUCUAACCUGGCUCGUAUGAUAAUGUAUCACUGCUAUAGAGCACAAACGACGUGUUUUUUAAUUAUAUUUUAGUUGACAUGGAUUUCAUUUAUCUUGUGAAUUGUAUAGUCAGAUCAUGAAUUUUUAUGAUUGAUUGAUUUUCAUGGUCACAGGUAGGCAUGGUUGUGUGGCCACGGGGAAAAUGGAGCAAGUAGCAUGUGAGGAGUUUAACAAAUGGGGACAAGGGACAGUUUAGUUAAUUAAGGCUCUAUGUUAGUUUCAAGUUUUAUCCUUGUUGCGGUAAAAAAUUAUGGUUGGAUUAACCACCAUGUACAUCUUUAAUUACUUUUAAAUAAGAAAUAUAAUCAAAAUAUUCUUUUGAAUUGAUAAAAUUUAUAUAAUUUGUACAAGUACAUGAAGGUGGAACAGGAGGAAGGGUGGGAGAAGAUUAGAUAUCGUUUCAUUUUCUUGCAAGGAAAGGAUGGUUACGAAGAAAUGACAAGAAAUGGAGGGACAAUCAGUUUUAUUACUGUAUGGAUGGAAACCACAUGCCAGCUUGUCCAACAUAUUUCUACAUUGAGUCAAUUAUUCAAUCGCUAUAUUUUUUUUAUUCCAUGGCAAUGCAUGGUCAUUCAACUAUUCAAAUUUACGGGUUAUUCAUCCACUUUUUUCAAGCUAUUUACAUAUUUGUCACUUGUCAGCAAGUUUGCAUAUGAUGCUAGGAAGUGAACAUAAGGACACAUAAACGUUGCAUUUUGAAUAUGAAAUAAACUCAACAUCCAAAUA